This 678-nucleotide ribosomal RNA is filed under the name uncultured Streptococcus sp. Its description in RNAcentral is "partial 16S ribosomal RNA". Lineage: Bacteria; Bacillati; Bacillota; Bacilli; Lactobacillales; Streptococcaceae. The record is from RNAcentral.
GACGAACGCUGGGGCGUGUUUAACACGUGCAAGUCGAACGUGAUUUUUGUGGAAGUUCCUUCGGGAAUGGAAGUAAAAUGAAAGUGGGGGACGGGUGAGUACACGUGAGUACCUACCUUAACAGGGGGAUAGCCGUGGAAAGGAGAUUAUACCGCUGGACCACAGUACCACUGGAUAGGGUAAAGUUUAUGGUGUAGUGGGUCCGUUGAUAGCUAGUUGGAAGGGAAGGCUACAAGGAACGAUCAGAGCCGGUCUGGAGGAUGACGGCCCAUUGGACUGAGAACGUUAAUUCUACGGAGGAGCAGUGGGGAUAUUGACAAUGGGGGAAUCUGAUGCGCGCGGCGCGUGAGCAGGAGGUUUGAAUGUAAAUUCUGCCUAUGAGAGAUAAUGACGGUUCUUGGGGGAGCCUGCUUAAUACUGCCGCAGCGCGUAUAGUAUGGGGCAGCGUGUCGGAAUUUUGGCUAAGGGGAUGGGGCGCUAUAAGCGAAUGAAGCGGGGUUAACUAUUUAACUGAACUGGGCUGGGGAGGGGGGAGGGAAUCUAAGGUGCGUGAUUGUAAGAAUUAGUGAAAGGGUGGGGUGGGACUUUUGGCUUUUAUGGGCUAGUCGAAGCGGGGGGAAAAGAUAUAACCUUUGUGGGAGGGGAUCAAAGGGAAUAAUUUAUGAAGGCGACGCCGGG